CAUCGUGAGAUGGAAUCUGAAGGAAGCUGGAUGUGAGGAACAUACUAACUCACGGGCAAAUCUCUGGUCUGACGAACAGGAAUCUCAUAUGAGGUCAUGCAUGAGGGUAAAACUGCUAUUCAAGUUGAAGCCCAAUAACUACACGGAAUCAUGCAUGAUAAAUGAGGCAGAUGGAUGGAGAGGAAGAAA
RNAcentral lists this non-coding RNA (189 nucleotides) under human gut metagenome. The record is from RNAcentral.